RNAcentral lists this ribosomal RNA (398 nucleotides) under uncultured bacterium. RNAcentral describes it as "bacterial SSU rRNA". It matches the Rfam family "Bacterial small subunit ribosomal RNA", at positions 39 to 424 of the family's 1533-position model. The record is from RNAcentral.
GGCCGCGGGAAUUCGAUUCAGGCCUAACACAUGCAAGUCGAGCGGUAGAGAGAAGCUUGCUUCUCUUGAGAGCGGCGGACGGGUGAGUAAUGCCUAGGAAUCUGCCCGGUAGUGGGGGAUAACGUUCGGAAACGGACGCUAAUACCGCAUACGUCCUACGGGAGAAAGCAGGGGACCUUCGGGCCUUGCGCUAUCAGAUGAGCCUAGGUCGGAUUAGCUAGUUGGUGAGGUAAUGGCUCACCAAGGCGACGAUCCGUAACUGGUCUGAGAGGAUGAUCAGUCACACUGGAACUGAGACACGGUCCAGACUCCUACGGGAGGCAGCAGUGGGGAAUAUUGGACAAUGGGCGAAAGCCUGAUCCAAAGAGGGCCGCGUGUGUGAAGAAGGUCUUCGGAUU